RNAcentral lists this ribosomal RNA (468 nucleotides) under uncultured bacterium. Its description in RNAcentral is "partial 16S ribosomal RNA". It matches the Rfam family "Bacterial small subunit ribosomal RNA", at positions 28 to 507 of the family's 1533-position model. The record is from RNAcentral.
GACGAACGCUGGCGGCGUGCUUAACACAUGCAAGUCGAACGGAAAGGCCCUGCUUUUGUGGGGUGCUCGAGUGGCGAACGGGUGAGUAACACGGGAGUAACCUGCCCUUGACUUUGGGAUAACUUCAGGAAACUGGGGCUAAUACCGGAUAGGAGCUCCUGCUGCAUGGUGGGGGUUGGAAAGUUUCGGCGGUUGGGGAUGGACUCGCGGCUUAUCAGCUUGUUGGUGGGGUAGUGGCUUACCAAGGCUUUGACGGGUAGCCGGCCUGAGAGGGUGACCGGCCACAUUGGGACUGAGCUACGGCCCAGACUCCUACGGGAGGCAGCAGUGGGGAAUAUUGCACAAUGGGCGGAAGCCUGAUGCAGCAACGCCGCGUGCGGGAUGACGGCCUUCGGGUUGUAAACCGCUUUCGCCUGUGACGAAGCGUGAGUGACGGUAAUGGGUGAAGAAGCACCGGCUAACUACGUG